AAACCGCGAGGUCAAGCAAAUCCCAUAAAGUUGUUCUCAGUUCGGAUUGUAGUCUGCAACUCGACUACAUGAAGCUGGAAUCGCUAGUAAUCGUAGAUCAGCAUGCUACGGUGAAUACGUUCCCGGGUCUUGUACACACCGCCCGUCACACCACGAGAGUUUGUAACACCCGAAGCCGGUGGAGUAACCUUUUGGAGCUAGCCGUCGAAGGUGGGACAAAUGAUUGGGGUGAAGUCGUAACAAGGUAGCCGUAUCGGAAGGUGCGGCUGGAUCACCUCCUUUCUAAGGA
RNAcentral lists this ribosomal RNA (289 nucleotides) under Staphylococcus capitis. RNAcentral describes it as "partial 16S ribosomal RNA". It matches the Rfam family "Bacterial small subunit ribosomal RNA", at positions 1252 to 1533 of the family's 1533-position model. The record is from RNAcentral. Lineage: Bacteria; Bacillati; Bacillota; Bacilli; Caryophanales; Staphylococcaceae. RNAcentral also lists the same sequence under 2 other names.